ACGAACGCUGGCGGCGCGCCUAAUACAUGCAAGUCGAGCGAGAAGACGUAGCAAUACGUUUGUAAAGCGGCGAACGGGUGAGGAAUACAUGGGUAACCUACCCUCGAGUGGGGAAUACUAGCCGAAAGGUUAGCUAAUACCGCGUACGCUCCUUGGACUUCGGUUCAGGGAGGAAAGCGAUACCGUGGGUAUCGCGCUCUUGGAUGGGCUCAUGUCCUAUCAGCUUGNGGUGAGGUAACGGCUCACCAAGGCUUCGACGGGUAGCUGGUCUGAGAGGACGAUCAGCCACACUGGCACUGCGACACGGGCCAGACUCCUACGGGAGGCAGCAGUAAGGAAUAUUGCGCAAUGGGCGAAAGCCUGACGCAGCGACGCCGCGUGAGGGAUGACGGCCU
Molecule: ribosomal RNA, 395 nt
Filed under: uncultured bacterium
Lineage: Bacteria
Description: bacterial SSU rRNA
Rfam family: Bacterial small subunit ribosomal RNA
Source: RNAcentral